GGAAGUAAAGGUCGUAACAAGGUUUCCGUAGGUGAACCUGCGGAAGGAUCAUUCAUAAUAAAGUGUUUUAUGGCACUUUUUAAAAAUCCAUAUCCACCUUGUGUGCAAUGUUAGAUCUCGUCAAUCUUGGCGAGAUUUUUAUACAUCAACUCAUUCUUUAACUAAUUUGUCUGAAAAAUAUUAUGAAUACUUAAUUCAAAAUACAACUUUCAACAACGGAUCUCUAGGCUCUC
RNAcentral lists this unclassified non-coding RNA (233 nucleotides) under plant metagenome. Its description in RNAcentral is "partial contains small subunit ribosomal RNA and internal transcribed spacer 1". The stretch from base 1 to 54 matches the Rfam family "Eukaryotic small subunit ribosomal RNA", at positions 1778 to 1831 of the family's 1831-position model. The record is from RNAcentral.